CCUACGGGAGGCAGCAGUGAGGAAUAUUGGUCAAUGGGCGCAAGCCUGAACCAGCCAAGUCGCGUGAGGGAUGACGGUCCUAUGGAUUGUAAACCUCUUUUGUCGGGGAGCAAGGCCCGCCACGGGUGGCGUGAAGGAGAGUACCCGAAGAAAAAGCAUCGGCUAACUCAGUGCCAGCAGCCGCGGUAAUACGGAGGAUGCGAGCGUUAUCCGGAUUUAUUGGGUUUAAAGGAUGCGUAGGCGGAAGGUUAAGUCAGCGGUAAAAUGUCGGUGCUCAACACCGGCCUGCCGUUGAAACUGGUUUUCUUGAGUGAGCGAGAAGUAUGCGGAAUGCGUGGUGUAGCGGUGAAAUGCUUAGAUAUCACGAAGAACCCCGAUUGCGAAGGCAGCUUACUAAACUGUGACUGACAUUGAUGCUCGAAAGUGUGGGUAUCAAACAGGAUUAGAUACCCCUGUAGUC
Molecule: ribosomal RNA, 460 nt
Filed under: uncultured bacterium
Lineage: Bacteria
Description: partial 16S ribosomal RNA
Rfam family: Bacterial small subunit ribosomal RNA
Source: RNAcentral